RNAcentral lists this long non-coding RNA (2280 nucleotides) under Setaria viridis. Its description in RNAcentral is "long non-coding RNA (SVIR_LNC002556)". The record is from RNAcentral. Lineage: Eukaryota; Viridiplantae; Streptophyta; Magnoliopsida; Poales; Poaceae.
CUCAUAUAAGAAGAUCAUAUCGAAGGGAAAAGGUCGUGGCAGUAGUCAGGUGCAGUGGGCAAUGACAGUAUUAUACACACAAUGAUGUAAAAAGGUGCCAAGAGAGCUAAUAAAAUUAUAACUUAGAGGUACAAAUCAAAUUAAAGUUUGGUAAAAAAAAAGAUCCAUCCAUAUCACUUAUGUCGACACACAGUUCCUCUCUCUGUUUGCGCUUGGUCUUUAGCUUCUGAAAGCUUUGCUUUCUGUUGGAUACUGCAGAAGAUCCAUUUGUGCUAAUCAAUAGCAACUUUCUUUCAGCAUGUAGGCUAUAUAGCUAGGUAGCCACUUCCAGGCAACCAAAGAGAGAGCAUGUCUCUCCAUAUGUUUAUCUCCUCUCACAUAUCUUUUCUCUCAAGUUGGACCCAAGCAUCAUGAUUCGUCAUCGGCAAAGACACUUUCUUUCUAGCUCAUCACUCAACAAAGUCUAAUGAUGUAAGCACACAUUUAGCCUUGAGAUUAAAAAGCUACCGUGCCUAAUGGCUAGCCAAAUUCAUACGCAUUGCAAGGUAAUAUAGGCUGCUGUUGACCACCAACGGCGACUGCCACUGACAUAGGUCAUGCAUGGUGCAUAUAUGCCUAUAUAUGAUGACUACUAGAAUCUUCAGCAUACAGUAAAAAGAAAGAAAAAGGCAAAAUCUUCAGUAAAUCUAUAGUGGCGCACCGACGUACUCGUGGUUGUUGGGAGCUUUAUUUGCGCGUGAAAAAGGCUCUGGAUAACGUAGGCGUUUAUGCACAGAAGAGGGUGGAUUAAAGCGUGUGAUAGUCUAACAGAUGGUAAGAAAACGCAGCAGGCGUCCAAGUGCGUUAGUUGUUGGGUCAGUGAAAAGGUUAAAAGAACGCAUGUAUGCAGGUCAAGAGGCUCCAUCGACCAUCGGUCACGGAGCUUUCAGCCUUUCACUACUCUGAGUGACACCGGCUUGGACUCAUAUGAUCUUAUCUCUUGCUACCAUCACGUACCUUUCUUCCUUGCUUGCCACGUAGGUUCAUGUACUUGUUACUGGAUAUGCAUGAUACCUAUGGCUAACUAACUCUGUAUGUAGGUUAAUUAUUAUGUGCUCUUAAUUUGUUUUAGUUGGUUCUUAGUCUUGUCAAGUUACUAUCUUUCACAGUACAAAACAAAUACUUUAUUUCUUAGUCUUGGUUCUUAAUCAUAUUUAGUUACACCGUCGUGUUACUUUCAGAUUGACAAGGAAUCAUAUGAUGAGGAAGGAUACAAUUUUUUUUAUGAAUGGAAGUGAAAUAUAAUUUGGCGGAGGAUCCUCCAAAAAAAUAUUUUUUUAAAAAAAAAUAUAUAAGCAAACAAAACGGCUGAAAGAAGAAAUUGGCAUGCGCUCGCGCAGGUGACGGAGUUCACGUGCGGCGGCUUCGUUGUCGGCCUCAUCUCCGUGCACACCAUCGCCGACGGCCUCGGCGCCGGGCAGUUCAUCAACGCGGUGGCGGACUACGCGCGCGGCCUCCCCAAGCCCCGCGUGGCCCCCGUCUGGGCGCGCGACAUCAUCCCGGCGCCGUCGAAGAUUGUGUCGCGGCCGCCGCGCUUCGAGCUCUUCGACCUCCGCUACUUCACCGUGGACCUCGGCCCGGACCACAUCGCCAAGGUCAAGUCCAGCUUCUUCGAGGCGACGGGGCAGCGCUGCUCCGCCUUCGACGUGUGCGUCGCCAAGACGUGGCAGUCCCGCGUCCGCGCGCUCCGGCUCGACGCCGACGACCCGUCCCGCCCAGUCCACGUCUGCUUCUUCGCCAACACCCGCCACCUCCUGCCGCCGGCGCCGGGGUUCUACGGCAACUGCUUCUACACGGUGAAGGCGACGCGUCCCUGCGGCGAGAUCGCCGCCGCCGGCGUGGUGGAGGUGGUGCGCGCGAUCCGGGACGCCAAGGCGCGGCUGGCCGCGGACUUCGCGCGGUGGGCGGGCGGAGGGUUCGAGCGCGACCCCUACGAGCUCACCUUCACCUACGACUCGCUCUUCGUCUCCGACUGGACGCGGCUCGGGUUCCUGGAGGCGGACUACGGGUGGGGCACGCCGGCGCACGUCCUGCCCUUCUCGUACCACCCCUUCAUGGCCGUCGCCGUCAUCGGAGCGCCGCCGGCGCCCAAGCCCGGAGCGCGCGUCAUGACCAUGUGCGUCACGGAGAAGCACCUGCCGGAGUUCCGGGAGCAGAUGAACGCCUUCGCCGCCGGGAACUAAACCAUGCUUACCUAUCGUCGUCGUGUAUCGCCGUUUCCUCAUCAAAGCGUGUCUACGU